GUACUUGCUUUUGUAUCACAUGUACUAAAAUCGGAAUGAUGCAGAGAUUAGCAUGGCCCCAGUUCAGGGACAGCAUGCAAAUUUUAGAACAGUUCCAUAUUUUU
Small nuclear RNA from Cavia porcellus (domestic guinea pig), 104 nucleotides. The record is from Ensembl. Lineage: Eukaryota; Metazoa; Chordata; Mammalia; Rodentia; Caviidae.